Molecule: transfer RNA, 72 nt
Organism: Volvox carteri f. nagariensis
Lineage: Eukaryota; Viridiplantae; Chlorophyta; Chlorophyceae; Chlamydomonadales; Volvocaceae
Rfam family: tRNA
About the family: Transfer RNA (tRNA) molecules are approximately 80 nucleotides in length. Their secondary structure includes four short double-helical elements and three loops (D, anti-codon, and T loops).
Source: Rfam
GGGAGUUUGGUCUAGUGGUAUGAUUCUCACUUAGGGUGCGAGAGGUCGUGGGUUCAAUUCCCGCAACUCCCC